RNAcentral lists this ribosomal RNA (500 nucleotides) under uncultured bacterium. RNAcentral's name for it is "partial 16S ribosomal RNA". It matches the Rfam family "Bacterial small subunit ribosomal RNA", at positions 30 to 523 of the family's 1533-position model. The record is from RNAcentral.
AUUGAACGCUGGCGGCAUGCUUUACACAUGCAAGUCGAACGGAUUUUGGAGCUUGCUCCAGAGUUAGUGGCGAACGGGUGAGUAAUAUAUCGGAACGUACCCGGCAAUGGGGGAUAACGUAGCGAAAGUUACGCUAAUACCGCAUAUGCCCUGAGGGGGAAAGCAGGGGACCCGUAAUGGGCUUGCGUUUUCGGAGCGGCCGAUAUCGGAUUAGCUAGUUGGUGAGGGAAAGGCUCACCAAGGCGACGAUCCGUAGCGGGUCUGAGAGGAUGAUCCGCCACACUGGGACUGAGACACGGCCCAGACUCCUACGGGAGGCAGCAGUGGGGAAUUUUGGACAAUGGGCGAAAGCCUGAUCCAGCCAUGCCGCGUGAGUGAAGAAGGCCUUCGGGUUGUAAAGCUCUUUCAGGUGGAAAGAAAAGGUUACGGAUAAUACCUGUAACUGAUGACGGUACCAUCAGAAGAAGCACCGGCUAACUACGUGCCAGCCGCCGCCGUAA